AGUGAACGCUGGCGGUAGGCCUAACACAUGCAAGUCGAACGGCAGCACAGUAAGAGCUUGCUCUUACGGGUGGCGAGUGGCGGACGGGUGAGGAAUACAUCGGAAUCUACUUUUUCGGGGGGGAUAACGUAGGGACACUUACGCUAAUACCGCAUACGACCUACGGGUGAAAGCAGGGGAUCUUCGGACCUUGCGCGAUUGAAUGAGCCGAUGUCGGAUUAGCUAGUUGGCGGGGUAAAGGCCCACCAAGGCGACGAUCCGUAGCUGGUCUGAGAGGAUGAUCAGCCACACUGGAACUGAGACACGGUCCAGACACCUACGGGAGGCAGCAGUGGGGAAUAUUGGACAAUGGGCGAAAGCCUGAUCCAGCCACACCGCGUGAGUGAAGAAGGCCUUCGGGUUGUAAAGCCCUUUUGUUGGGAAAGAAAAGCAGCAGGUUAAUACCCCGCUGUUCUGACGGUACCCAAAGAAUAAGCACCGGCUAACUUCGUG
This 492-nucleotide ribosomal RNA is filed under the name uncultured bacterium. RNAcentral describes it as "partial 16S ribosomal RNA". It matches the Rfam family "Bacterial small subunit ribosomal RNA", at positions 29 to 507 of the family's 1533-position model. The record is from RNAcentral.